AUUGAACGCUGGCGGCAUGCCUUACACAUGCAAGUCGAACGGCAGCACGGGAGCAAUCCUGGUGGCGAGUGGCGAACGGGUGAGUAAAGUAUCGGAACGUGCCCAGUCGGGGGGGAUAACGUAGCGAAAGUUACGCUAAUACCGCAUACGAUCUAUGGAUGAAAGCGGGGGAUCGCAAGACCUCGCGCGAUUGGAGCGGCCGAUAUCAGAGUAGGUAGUUGGUGGGGUAAAGGCUCACCAAGCCGACGAUCUGUAGCUGGUCUGAGAGGACGACCAGCCACACUGGGACUGAGACACGGCCCAGACUCCUACGGGAGGCAGCAGUGGGGAAUUUUGGACAAUGGGCGAAAGCCUGAUCCAGCCAUGCCGCGUGCAGGAUGAAGGCCUUCGGGUUGUAAACUGCUUUUGUACGGAACGAAAAGGUUUGGCCUAAUAAGCUGAGCUCAUGACGGUACCGUAAGAAUAAGCACCGGCUAACUACGUGCCAGCCGCCGCGGUAA
RNAcentral lists this ribosomal RNA (500 nucleotides) under uncultured bacterium. Its description in RNAcentral is "partial 16S ribosomal RNA". It matches the Rfam family "Bacterial small subunit ribosomal RNA", at positions 29 to 523 of the family's 1533-position model. The record is from RNAcentral.